Long non-coding RNA from Suricata suricatta (meerkat), 898 nucleotides. RefSeq lists it as uncharacterized. The transcript has 5 exons. The record is from RefSeq and is a predicted model, not a curated record. NCBI's taxonomy places the organism in Eukaryota, Metazoa, Chordata, Mammalia, Carnivora, Herpestidae.
UUCUAGGUGCCCAACAGCACAGGGCGAUCUUCUUCCAAGGAUGGUUAGUUUUCUUCUAUAGGUGGCAUGGUCUGGCUUCAGUCCCAAAGGUGUCUGUCUGCACAAGGACCUGCUGGCCGCAUGGUCCCAGAGGCAGGGCUCCUGGCUCCCAAGCCUGGGCUUCUACAAGGCUCUCUCUCGCUCUGGAGCCUAUGCAAGACCGACAGCUUGAUGGCAGCACUCCCUAUGCAGGUCCUGGCUGUCGGAGAGAAAAUCGCCGGGUGCAACACGCCUGGAAAUAUAAAGGGAUUAGAGAGGAUAUUCCGCCUGCAGCACUAACACCACCUCCCAGAGAAGGCAAAUGCUCCCUGAGCUCUUCAGUCAUUUUUGGACCUCAUCGCUCCCAAAGCACCAUGGUGACAAGACUCACAGGUCCCGCUGCCUCUCCACUGGGAUCAUUCUGAGGUGGUCCGGAUUCACGAGAUUACUUCCUGUCAAGCCUGUACCUGCUUCCCUAGCUGUGGCUAUUCUCCCACAAUGCACUUUACUCCAGGAUGGGUACAGACCUUCCCGAAUAUCUCACAGUGAGGGAUGAGACGUGACGUAUACGUUUAACAAGCUAUGUGAUCAGCUGCUCCACAAGUAAGCCACCUUACCCGAAGAACAAGCACUGCCUGGCUCGCCUCUGUUCAGAGCUGAGUAGUAUUCCAUUAUCUGAGAUGCCAUGGCAAUUUAUCCGUUCACUUCCUAGAGGACACGUCAGUUGCUUCCGAGUUGUGGCCGUUGUGAAGCUACUCUAAAGCUACUCUAAAGAUCCGUGUGCAGGUCUUGGUGUGGACAUAAAUUUUCGACCGACUUGGAUAAAUACCAAAUAGCAUCAUUGCUGGGUUGUAUGAAUGAAAAUAAAAUAUCUGUUUUA